Molecule: ribosomal RNA, 353 nt
Filed under: uncultured bacterium
Lineage: Bacteria
Description: bacterial SSU rRNA
Rfam family: Bacterial small subunit ribosomal RNA
Source: RNAcentral
GGGCCCGCACAAGCGGUGGAGCAUGUGGUUUAAUUCGAUGCAACGCGAAAAAACCUUACCAGGGCUUGACAUCCUCGGAAGAAUCUUGAAAAAAGAUUUGUGCCUUCGGGAACCGAGUGACAGGUGCUGCAUGGCUGUCGUCAGCUCGUGUCGUGAGAUGUUGUGUUAAGUCACAUAACGAGCGCAACCCUUACCUUUAGUUGCCAGCGGGUCAUGCCGGGAACUCUAAGGGACUGCCGGGGCAACCCGGAGGAAGGUGGGGACGACGUCAAGUCAUCAUGGCCCUUAUGUCCUGGGCUACACACGUGCUACAAUGGACGAUACAGACAGUUGCAAAAGCGCAAGCUCAAGCU